UGGCGGACGGGUGAGUAAUGUCUGGGAAACUGCCUGGUGGAGGGGGAUAACUACUGGAAACGGUAGCUAAUACCGCAUAACGUCGCAAGACCAAAGAGGGGGACCUUAGGGCCUCUUGCCAUCGGAUGUGCCCAGAUGGGAUUAGCUAGUAGGUGGGGUAAUGGCUCACCUAGGCGACGAUCCCUAGCUGGUCUGAGAGGAUGACCAGCCACACUGGAACUGAGACACGGUCCAG
Molecule: ribosomal RNA, 235 nt
Filed under: uncultured bacterium
Lineage: Bacteria
Description: partial 16S ribosomal RNA
Rfam family: Bacterial small subunit ribosomal RNA
Source: RNAcentral